This 2329-nucleotide ribosomal RNA is filed under the name Enterobacter hormaechei. RNAcentral's name for it is "23S ribosomal RNA". It matches the Rfam family "Bacterial large subunit ribosomal RNA", at positions 1 to 2356 of the family's 2925-position model. Lineage: Bacteria; Pseudomonadati; Pseudomonadota; Gammaproteobacteria; Enterobacterales; Enterobacteriaceae. The record is from RNAcentral.
UUAAGCGACUAAGCGUACACGGUGGAUGCCCUGGCAGUCAGAGGCGAUGAAGGACGUGCUAAUCUGCGAAAAGCGCCGGCGAGGUGAUAUGAACCCUUGACCCGGCGAUGUCCGAAUGGGGAAACCCAGUGCAAUCCGUUGCACUAUCGUUAACUGAAUACAUAGGUUAACGAGGCGAACCGGGGGAACUGAAACAUCUAAGUACCCCGAGGAAAAGAAAUCAACCGAGAUUCCCCCAGUAGCGGCGAGCGAACGGGGAGCAGCCCGGAGUCUGAAUCAGCUUGUGUGUUAGUGGAACGGUCUGGAAAGUCCGACGGUACAGGGUGAUAGUCCCGUACACGAAAAUGCACAUGCUGUGAACUCGAAGAGUAGGGCGGGACACGUGGUAUCCUGUCUGAAUAUGGGGGGACCAUCCUCCAAGGCUAAAUACUCCUGACUGACCGAUAGUGAACCAGUACCGUGAGGGAAAGGCGAAAAGAACCCCGGCGAGGGGAGUGAAAAAGAACCUGAAACCGUGUACGUACAAGCAGUGGGAGCCUCUUUAUGGGGUGACUGCGUACCUUUUGUAUAAUGGGUCAGCGACUUAUAUUCUGUAGCAAGGUUAACCGUAUAGGGGAGCCGAAGGGAAACCGAGUCUUAACUGGGCGUUAAGUUGCAGGGUAUAGACCCGAAACCCGGUGAUCUAGCCAUGGGCAGGUUGAAGGUUGGGUAACACUAACUGGAGGACCGAACCGACUAAUGUUGAAAAAUUAGCGGAUGACCUGUGGCUGGGGGUGAAAGGCCAAUCAAACCGGGAGAUAGCUGGUUCUCCCCGAAAGCUAUUUAGGUAGCGCCUCGUGAACUCAUCUUCGGGGGUAGAGCACUGUUUCGGCUAGGGGGCCAUCCCGGCUUACCAACCCGAUGCAAACUACGAAUACCGAAGAAUGUUAUCACGGGAGACACACGGCGGGUGCUAACGUCCGUCGUGAAGAGGGAAACAACCCAGACCGCCAGCUAAGGUCCCAAAGUCAUGGUUAAGUGGGAAACGAUGUGGGAAGGCACAGACAGCCAGGAUGUUGGCUUAGAAGCAGCCAUCAUUUAAAGAAAGCGUAAUAGCUCACUGGUCGAGUCGGCCUGCGCGGAAGAUGUAACGGGGCUAAACCAUGCACCGAAGCUGCGGCAGCGACACUAUGUGUUGUUGGGUAGGGGAGCGUUCUGUAAGCCGUUGAAGGUGUGCUGUGAGGCAUGCUGGAGGUAUCAGAAGUGCGAAUGCUGACAUAAGUAACGAUAAAGCGGGUGAAAAGCCCGCUCGCCGGAAGACCAAGGGUUCCUGUCCAACGUUAAUCGGGGCAGGGUGAGUCGACCCCUAAGGCGAGGCCGAAAGGCGUAGUCGAUGGGAAACAGGUUAAUAUUCCUGUACUUGGUGUUACUGCGAAGGGGGGACGGAGAAGGCUAUGUCAGCCGGGCGACGGUUGUCCCGGUUUAAGCAUGUAGGCGGAGGUUCCAGGUAAAUCCGGUACCUUGUUAACGCUGAGGUGUGAUGACGAGGCACUACGGUGCUGAAGUGAUAAAUGCCCUGCUUCCAGGAAAAGCCUCUAAGCAUCAGGUAACACGAAAUCGUACCCCAAACCGACACAGGUGGUCAGGUAGAGAAUACCAAGGCGCUUGAGAGAACUCGGGUGAAGGAACUAGGCAAAAUGGUGCCGUAACUUCGGGAGAAGGCACGCUGAUGUGUAGGUGAAGCCCCUGCGGGCGGAGCUGAAAUCAGUCGAAGAUACCAGCUGGCUGCAACUGUUUAUUAAAAACACAGCACUGUGCAAACACGAAAGUGGACGUAUACGGUGUGACGCCUGCCCGGUGCCGGAAGGUUAAUUGAUGGGGUUAGCGGCAACGCGAAGCUCUUGAUCGAAGCCCCGGUAAACGGCGGCCGUAACUAUAACGGUCCUAAGGUAGCGAAAUUCCUUGUCGGGUAAGUUCCGACCUGCACGAAUGGCGUAAUGAUGGCCAGGCUGUCUCCACCCGAGACUCAGUGAAAUUGAACUCGCUGUGAAGAUGCAGUGUACCCGCGGCAAGACGGAAAGACCCCGUGAACCUUUACUAUAGCUUGACACUGAACACUGGUCCUUGAUGUGUAGGAUAGGUGGGAGGCUUUGAAGCGUGGACGCCAGUCUGCGUGGAGCCAACCUUGAAAUACCACCCUUUAAUGGCUGGUGUUCUAACGUGGACCCGUAAUCCGGGUUGCGGACAGUGUCUGGUGGGUAGUUUGACUGGGGCGGUCUCCUCCCAAAGAGUAACGGAGGAGCACGAAGGUUGGCUAAUCCUGGUCGGACAUCAGGAGGUUAGUGCAAUG